AUACGGAGGGUGCAAGCGUUGUUCGGAAUUACUGGGCGUAAAGCGCGCGUAGGCGGUCUGUUAUGUCAGAUGUGAAAGUCCUCGGCUCAACCGGGGAAGUGCAUUUGAAACUGGCAGACUUGAGUACUGGAGGGGGUGGUGGAAUUCCCGGUGUAGAGGUGAAAUUCGUAGAUAUCGGGAGGAAUACCGGUGGCGAAGGCGACCACCUGGCCAGAUACUGACGCUGAGGUGCGAAAGCGUGGGGAGCAAACAGGAUUAGAAACCCCUGUAGUCC
Molecule: ribosomal RNA, 274 nt
Filed under: uncultured bacterium
Lineage: Bacteria
Description: partial 16S ribosomal RNA
Rfam family: Bacterial small subunit ribosomal RNA
Source: RNAcentral